This is a long non-coding RNA of Micropterus salmoides (largemouth bass), 363 nucleotides long. RefSeq lists it as uncharacterized. NCBI's taxonomy places the organism in Eukaryota, Metazoa, Chordata, Actinopteri, Centrarchiformes, Centrarchidae. The transcript has 3 exons. The record is from RefSeq and is a predicted model, not a curated record.
CACACGGCAGCCUGCUGCCUUGGAAAAACUCCUCGUCCUACACAAAUCAGUGAAUCAAGUGACAAAAGAACAAUGAAACAAAAUAAUGAGCACAGUUGAGAGAGCAGAAGAGAGACAGAGAGAACUUCGAAAGAAGAAGACGUUCAUUAGGACCAACCUGCUUCCAGAGUGCAGAUGUUCCAUUCUCGAGACGUCUCCAGCAGCAAACCUAAAGUCUCCUGUAUACAACACGUUCCCUUGGGAUCCCUCGAACAGGAACCUACAGACAGACGCACACCAUUUCAGACUUUUCAUGUUAGGAUGUCUUAACAAUUACCUUUUCAAAAAACAUAAAUAAAUAAAGUAAAGCUUUGUCACAUGACA